Camelus dromedarius (Arabian camel) is the source of this 650-nucleotide long non-coding RNA. RefSeq lists it as uncharacterized. The record is from RefSeq and is a predicted model, not a curated record. Lineage: Eukaryota; Metazoa; Chordata; Mammalia; Artiodactyla; Camelidae. The transcript is spliced from 3 exons.
CUUUGCCUGAGCAUCAGUUUCGGGCAGAGCCGGGAUGAGGGGAACUUGCAUGCACGCGCCUAAUGCGUUUGCCCUCCCCUUUGGGGAAGAAAGCCUUGUCCUCAAACACAUCAGAUGAGAAAACAGAGAUUAAAUCACUUGUCCGGGACCCUCCAGGCAGUUGAGAUGCAGGCUCAGUUCGUCUGACCCCAAAGGCCAGGCUCUUUUCUGAGCAAACCGACCAGGUCAGGCGCUGACCAGGCUGGAUCUGGCCCUGGGAUACGUGGCGUCUGGCUUGAGUGAGGCUUCAAACAUCAGAGAUUUUUACAGAAAUCCGGCUUCUGGAUGGUAGACUUGGGAAAUCUGGCAACACAGAGCCCUCCUUCCACGUGGCAGUCAUGAGCUGGAGCUGCGUGGAGGCCCAGACCUCCGGACAAGCCUCCCUGAUGAGGAAACUGGCCCAGAGACAGGACAGGCCUUCCUCCACGUCUCACAGGCAGCUGUCCUGACUUACAGCCGGUGCCCACCAGUGUCUCCACCUCUGAGGAAGCCCCACCCGCAGUCUCUCAGGAAUGCAAAUAUUGGCCCAAACCAUAUAAUUCUUGGUGAAAACUAGAAAAAAAUAUCAUUUUCUUUAGCCAAACAGAGCCCUGCAUCAGCACCCAUGCCAU